Molecule: ribosomal RNA, 153 nt
Filed under: uncultured fungus
Lineage: Eukaryota; Fungi
Description: 5.8S ribosomal RNA
Rfam family: 5.8S ribosomal RNA
About the family: 5.8S ribosomal RNA (5.8S rRNA) is a component of the large subunit of the eukaryotic ribosome. It is transcribed by RNA polymerase I as part of the 45S precursor that also contains 18S and 28S rRNA.
Source: RNAcentral
AACUUUCAACAACGGAUCUCUUGGUUCUGGCAUCGAUGAAGAACGCAGCGAAAUGCGAUAAGUAAUGUGAAUUGCAGAAUUCAGUGAAUCAUCGAAUCUUUGAACGCACAUUGCGCCCUGUGGUAUUCCGCAGGGCAUGCCUGUUCGAGCGUC